GCUUUUGUGGUGUAGUUGUCAACACGCUCGACGCGUAUUCGAGAGGUCCGUGGUUCGAGUCCAGGCGAGGGCA
Non-coding RNA from Stegodyphus mimosarum, 73 nucleotides. The record is from Rfam. Lineage: Eukaryota; Metazoa; Arthropoda; Arachnida; Araneae; Eresidae.